RNAcentral lists this long non-coding RNA (473 nucleotides) under Brassica napus (rape). Its description in RNAcentral is "long non-coding RNA (BNAP_LNC011582)". The record is from RNAcentral. Lineage: Eukaryota; Viridiplantae; Streptophyta; Magnoliopsida; Brassicales; Brassicaceae.
GGCAGAACUUAAAACCUCGUUAGGGGGGGAAGUAUAAUUGAUGUGGGGAAGUAUAAUUGAUGUUUACAUAGAAGUCUUUUAAAAAAUUUUAAAACUCUGUCAAAAGUUUCUCAAAGAAACCUCCAAUAAUAAUCACCAUAGACUAAUUAGUGAAACCUCCCAUUGAACUAAUGUUAUUACAGAUUUUAGGAACGCGUCACAUCAACUACCAAAGGGUGACAUAGUUUCUAACAGCAAUUUUAACAUUUAGAACUCCACUUGAGUUUCUAAAAAAGUUAAAUGAUAAUAUUUUAAAAAAUUUGUUAUCGAUGUUUACAUAGAAAUCUUUUAAAUUUUUUAAAAGUCUGUUAAAAGUUUCUCAAAGAAACCUCCAAUAAUAAUCACCGUAGACUAUUUAGUGAAUCAUAAAGACAUAUAUGUCAUACGUCUGGGACGGAUCGGGUAUCCGGACAAUUUUAAAAUAUCCGGAUCCG